UUGGUUUGUUACCGGUGGUUGGCUCUUUGCAUGUGCAACAACUUCCACCUGGCAUUCCUUUUUGGUUUUGCGUCAAGGUUGCAUUUCCUUGAGCGCUAAUGGUUUCCUGUGUUUCCUACCUACGUGACGGUAUCGGUUGAUUACAUCAAAGACGUGUUUCAUCAUUUGCCAUCUGUAUGGCUUAAGAUGAACCUAAAAGCAACUUCUAUGAUCCUCCUUGAUGAUGCACAUGCAUCGAUGUUGUGGCUCAUUGAGUUUUGCUUGGUUUUCUAGAUACAGAACAUGAUAUGGGUGUGGGUCUCAUGCGAUCCUUUUUUUGCCCUUGUUGAUCGUUGUUAUUACUCAGAGAUGACUGCCUAUCUUGAAUUGGCUCGUACCACCGGGGUAGGUUAUGUUGUUGAGGAGAAAUACCAGCGUUCACGUUUCUCUAAAAUAGACGGCCUCGCCUGGAUUGGCUCGUACCAACAGGUGGGCUAUGUCGAAGAGGGAUGCUACCUGGUUGAUCCUGCCAGUAGUCAUAUGCUUGUCUCAA
This 532-nucleotide unclassified non-coding RNA is filed under the name Perralderia paui. Its description in RNAcentral is "contains 3 external transcribed spacer, ETS". Lineage: Eukaryota; Viridiplantae; Streptophyta; Magnoliopsida; Asterales; Asteraceae. The record is from RNAcentral.